GUAGGUGGCAAGCGUUGUCCGGAAUUAUUGGGCGUAAAGCGCGCGCAGGCGGUCCUUUAAGUCUGAUGUGAAAGCCCACGGGCUCAACCGUGGAGGGUCAUUGGAAACUGGGGGACUUGAGUGCAGAAGAGGAAAGCGGAAUUCCAAGUGUAGCGGUGAAAUGCGUAGAGAUUUGGAGGAACACCAGUGGCGAAGGCGGCUUUCUGGUCUGUAACUGACGCUGAGGCGCGAAAGCGUGGGGAGCAAACAGGAUUAGAUACCCUGGUAGUCCACGCCGUAAACGAUGAGUGCUAAGUGUUAGGGGGUUUCCGCCCCUUAGUGCUGCAGCUAACGCAUUAAGCACUCCGCCUGGGGAGUACGGCCGCAAAGGCUG
Molecule: ribosomal RNA, 373 nt
Filed under: uncultured organism
Description: partial 16S ribosomal RNA
Rfam family: Bacterial small subunit ribosomal RNA
Source: RNAcentral